RNAcentral lists this transfer RNA (73 nucleotides) under Fimbriiglobus ruber. It matches the Rfam family "tRNA". From Rfam's summary of the family: Transfer RNA (tRNA) molecules are approximately 80 nucleotides in length. Their secondary structure includes four short double-helical elements and three loops (D, anti-codon, and T loops). The record is from Rfam by way of RNAcentral. Lineage: Bacteria; Pseudomonadati; Planctomycetota; Planctomycetia; Gemmatales; Gemmataceae.
GCCCCGUUAGCUCAAUUGGCAGAGCAGCUGACUCUUAAUCAGCGGGUUGUAGGUUCAAGUCCUACACGGGGCA